GAGCAAGGACGCCUAAAAAAUGUGACGAAACUUGCAUUGAAGGUUGGCAAAAUCAAAACAGUUUCUGCGAUUCUCCGUGCCUAUCAAAUCUCUUAAUUUUGAAUAUGGCCUCGAACAAAUCGCAACAUA
Molecule: small nucleolar RNA, 129 nt
Filed under: Helianthus annuus (common sunflower)
Lineage: Eukaryota; Viridiplantae; Streptophyta; Magnoliopsida; Asterales; Asteraceae
Also listed under: 1 other name
Source: RNAcentral